This is a long non-coding RNA of Mus musculus (house mouse), 841 nucleotides long. RefSeq annotates it as predicted gene, 31011. The record is from RefSeq and is a predicted model, not a curated record. The transcript has 2 exons. NCBI's taxonomy places the organism in Eukaryota, Metazoa, Chordata, Mammalia, Rodentia, Muridae.
AAGGCUUCAGGAGGGUUCUGUGAACCUGGACACCUGCAACUCUCUGCACUCUGGUUGAGACACAGUUUCAAGGUACCAGUCAGCGAGUUCAGAGUAGGACGGAAAGAUGGUACUUCAGACACAGAAAGUACCCCCAAACUUCAGCUGUGUUUGGGGUGAGGCAUCAUUGGGUGUUUGGUCAACAUAGAGCCCAGAGGCCACCUGCAGACGUGGGCAUGUAGAAUAUCCAUGUCUGGUGGUCACCUGGUGAACAUGAUCUGCAGGAACAUGGUCCAGCCUCUGGGCACCAUGUCUGUCCAUGUGUGUGAAGCUUUCAUAUGUGAUGGCUCUGCUCAGCUUACAAAGAUCACACUUUCAGGUAGUCCUUCUCUCCUUUUAGUCUAUUAUUCACUGUUAUCUGCAAUUAAAAUGCCUUAGCUUCUUCUCUUCAUGCACCCAGGUGAGUGUUCCAGUCAGAGGCCCCUGCACCUGCUGUUCACUGGCCCUCCAGCUCCCCAGUGCUCAAUGACCAUCUGCUGGUGAACAGUUCUCCUGAGGGUUGAGGAAUACCUAGGCCCCUCACAGAUGGACUCAUGGUUUCUACAGCUGAUAGACCUCUGUAUUAGUCCCAUGAAGCAAUGUCACCAUGAGCCUCAAAGCCAUUUUGAGAAAGGGAAAAAGCCAUUAGGCUCAAAGGAAACAAGACUUGCCUUCCAAUGCACAUUCCUAUGCUUGGGGUACAGAGGUCCCAGCCUGUGUUGAUUAAGGUCAGCGUGAGGGCUGACCCAGUCACCCUCUGCCAACUGGUUGGCUCAGUUAUGUUUGUCCAACAGGAAGACUGAAUAAAGACGUGAUUCCAGGA